CAGCAGCAGCCGCGGUAAUACAGAGGGUGCGAGCGUUAAUCGGAUUUACUGGGCGUAAAGCGUGCGUAGGCGGCUAAUUGAGUCGGAUGUGAAAUCCCCGAGCUUAACUUGGGAAUUGCAUUCGAUACUGGUUAGCUAGAGUGUGGGAGAGGAUGGUAGAAUUCCAGGUGUAGCGGUGAAAUGCGUAGAGAUCUGGAGGAAUACCGAUGGCAAAGGCAGCCAUCUGGCCUAACACUGACGCUGAGGUACGAAAGCAUGGGGAGCAAACAGGAUUAGAUACCCCAGUAGUCCCUGUCUCUUAUAA
This 304-nucleotide ribosomal RNA is filed under the name uncultured bacterium. Its description in RNAcentral is "partial 16S ribosomal RNA". It matches the Rfam family "Bacterial small subunit ribosomal RNA", at positions 506 to 809 of the family's 1533-position model. The record is from RNAcentral.